This 253-nucleotide ribosomal RNA is filed under the name uncultured bacterium. Its description in RNAcentral is "partial 16S ribosomal RNA". It matches the Rfam family "Bacterial small subunit ribosomal RNA", at positions 524 to 776 of the family's 1533-position model. The record is from RNAcentral.
UACGUAGGCUGCAAGCGUUAUCCGGAAUUAUUGGGCGUAAAGCGUACGCAGGCGGUCUGUUAAGUUGGAUGUCAAAGCUAUGAGCUCAACUCAUAACAGGUAUCCAAUACUGGCAGGCUGGAGAUAGGCAGAGGUAAGUGGAAUUCUGUAUGUAGGGGUAAUAUCCGUAGAUAUACAGAGGAACACCAAAAGCGAAGGCAGCUUACUGGGCCUUUUCUGACGCUCAUGUACGAAAGCGUGGGGAGCAAACGGG